GAAUGCGACCGGUGGUGGUAUCCUUCUUCUGGACUCCUUGGAAGUUCCAAGAUUGGGUUGAGAGUGUGUUCAGCGUUAGCUGCAUCCACAAGGUAAUAUAGCAUUUUUUGCUUUACUUUUUUCCUUCUUGGCUUUGUGUUCGAGGGAAACAAAGUGAUGGGUGGAGACUUCCCUGUGGCCCUUGCUUGCGAGGCUUGGGUCCCUGUCGCUGGCUGACUCUGGAUCAUCCAGGGUCAUCCUCAUCGAGCAGGAAGCCCUCUGUAUCUCCCAUGGCAGCGUCGGCAGCUCUUUGACAGCCUUCUUCCACUUUAUCGAUCAGGCGGCAGAACUGAUCUUCCUUGGAAGGUCGAUCAGUUGCCUGGGGGAGAGGGGCCCUUGCGGGGAACAUGAAAGGGGCACCGGAGGUAUCAGCAGGGAAAUCAGGUGGAGGGUCUGUGAGGAUAACGAAGAGGUUUGUUAUGGGACUGAGAUGGGGUGAGGGAAGAUAGGGUUUUGAAGGAGCGGUGGGGAACGAAAAGGGUGAGGGGUGAGGGGUGAGGGAUUCGGAAUGGAAAGAGUUCAAACGAAGGGUUGCCUUGGGAGAGAAGAAGAUACGAUCGGCUGAGAUUUGAUUUGGCACAUCCGAAGAGAUCGAUGCAGAAUGGGCAACUGCCGGACGCGAGAUGCCAGGAUUCACUGCAGUCUGCACGGCUCCAGAGGCCGGAGCGACGGUUUGGGGACUCCGUCCACAGCACGAAGUCUGUGCCUCUACUAUGGUGAUGGGUUAUGAUCAUUCUAAUGGGGGCGGUUAUCAAUCUUGGGUCUUUUUCUGAACUUUGAUCCUACAGUGGUAGUGUUGGGGACGGAAGAAUGCAUCGGUAUUCCAGUGUUUUUGUUUGCCAGAGCUUUAUUCGUUGGAGCCAUUCUCGUCGGAAGAGAAAAAGAAUAGCUUUUCGAUGCAGGCCGUGAUCUGAAAGAGGAUUUUGGGGCUCAUUAGUUUGAUCGGAAGCCCAAAAAGUUGGGAGCCGAGGUAGGGGUAAACGUCAUUAGGGGCUCAAAGCGUUCACGCCAUGGGAAUAAGUUGAGCACCUGACUUCUAUCCAAGGAACCAUGGAUUGAAAGAGAAAGCACAAGAGUCCUCCGGCAAGAUCCAUAAUCUGAAUUUUGGCUCCUAGUUUUUUCCACAGGGACGACAACUUGGUUUUGAUUACUUUCACAA
This is a long non-coding RNA of Musa acuminata AAA Group (dessert banana), 1198 nucleotides long. RefSeq lists it as uncharacterized. NCBI's taxonomy places the organism in Eukaryota, Viridiplantae, Streptophyta, Magnoliopsida, Zingiberales, Musaceae. The transcript has 2 exons. The record is from RefSeq and is a predicted model, not a curated record.